RNAcentral lists this ribosomal RNA (452 nucleotides) under uncultured Hyphomicrobiales bacterium. Its description in RNAcentral is "bacterial SSU rRNA". It matches the Rfam family "Bacterial small subunit ribosomal RNA", at positions 29 to 523 of the family's 1533-position model. The record is from RNAcentral. Lineage: Bacteria; Pseudomonadati; Pseudomonadota; Alphaproteobacteria; Hyphomicrobiales.
AACGAACGCUGGCGGCAGGCUUAACACAUGCAAGUCGAGCGCCCCGCAAGGGGAGCGGCAGACGGGUGAGUAACGCGUGGGAAUCGACCCAUCUCUACGGAAUAACGCAUGGAAACGUGUGCUAAUACCGUAUACGUCCUUCGGGAGAAAGAUUUAUCGGAGAUGGAUGAGCCCGCGUUGGAUUAGCUAGUUGGUGGGGUAAAGGCCUACCAAGGCGACGAUCCAUAGCUGGUCUGAGAGGAUGAUCAGCCACACUGGGACUGAGACACGGCCCAGACUCCUACGGGAGGCAGCAGUGGGGAAUAUUGCACAAUGGGCGGAAGCCUGAUGCAGCAACGCCGCGUGCGGGAUGACGGCCUUCGGGUUGUAAACCGCUUUCGCCUGUGACGAAGCGUGAGUGACGGUAAUGGGUAAAGAAGCACCGGCUAACUACGUGCCAGCCGCCGCGGUAA